RNAcentral lists this long non-coding RNA (444 nucleotides) under Arabidopsis lyrata. Its description in RNAcentral is "long non-coding RNA (ALYR_LNC001953)". The record is from RNAcentral. Lineage: Eukaryota; Viridiplantae; Streptophyta; Magnoliopsida; Brassicales; Brassicaceae.
AAAGGAUACGAUAUAAUUCAAAAUAUGGAGUAAUAAUGUGAAUUGGGAAUAACAACUGUUUAGCAAUGUUUGAUUGAAAGACGGUAAUAGAAAAGAAGAACUACAACGUAAAAGGACGACAAUGUUUCUUCUCAGUGAUCCAACAGCCGAAAAUGAAAAAAUCUUGUACUCCUCCAUCUUUGGUGUUGAAGCUCAUUAGUAAAUUAGGGCUGUCAUGGAAGGUCUGGGGUGCCCAACGAGAAGGUUUUCUGGAUAAUUAUACUCCUUUCAGUUGUUUUUAAUUUUUAUGAAAUGGUAAAUAAAAUUUAGAAGAGGAAAAAUAUAUGACAGUUCUUACUUGAGCCUGACCCGGAAAAUUGGGAAUCCUAGCUACUGUGAAGCUACGAUUAACUUCUGAAAAAUUGAAGGCAGUGAUUUUGAUUUCGAAAAGAAAAUGAUUUCCUA